Molecule: ribosomal RNA, 475 nt
Filed under: uncultured bacterium
Lineage: Bacteria
Description: bacterial SSU rRNA
Rfam family: Bacterial small subunit ribosomal RNA
Source: RNAcentral
GGCCGCGGGAAUUCGAUUCAGGCCUAACACAUGCAAGUCGAGCGGCAGCGGGAAAGUAGCUUGCUACUUUUGCCGGCGAGCGGAGGACGGGUGAGUAAUGCCUGGGGAUCUGCCCAGUCGAGGGGGAUAACUACUGGAAACGGUAGCUAAUACAGCAUACGCCCUACGGGGGAAAGCAGGGGACCUUCUGGCCUUGCGCGAUUGGAUGAACCCAGGUGGGAUUAGCUAGUUGGUGAGGUAAUGGCUCACCAAGGCGACGAUCCCUAGCUGGUCUGAGAGGAUGAUCAGCCACACUGGAACUGAGACACGGUCCAGACUCCUACGGGAGGCAGCAGUGGGGAAUAUUACACAAUGGGGGAAACCCUGAUGCAGCCAAGGCGCGUGUGUGAAGAUGUCCUUCGGGUUGUAAAUUAUAUUGAGCGAGGAGGAAAGGUUGGUAGCUAAUAACUGCAAGCUGUGACGUACUCGCAGAAGA